UCAUGGACCUCGUGGGCAGGAACGUGCAUCAGCGCUGGUUCCUCCUCUUUCUGGUGGCAGCUCCUGGAUGCGUCCUGUCCCAGAUACAGCUGCAGGAGUCGGGACCAAGCCUGGUGACGCCCUCGCAGACGCUGUCCCUCACCUGCUCGGUCUCUGGAUUCUCUCUAACCAGCAAUGGUGUAAACUGGGUCCGCCAGGCCCCUGGAAAGGGGCUGGAUUGGAUUGGUGCUAUAUGGGCUAGUGGAACCACAAAGUAUAAUCCAAGUCUUCAGUCCCGAGUCAGCAUCUCCAGGGACACCUCCAAGAACCAAGUUUACCUAAAACUGAGCAACUCGGUAACUGAGGACACCGCCGUGUAUUACUGUGCAAGAGACACAGUGAGGGCAAGUCCCUGUGAGCCCAGACACAAACCUGCUAAGGGACACAGGGCAGCUGCAGGGCUAAUUUAUUUUCCUCCAACAAUCCUGCAUCAUUGCCUUGAGAUGUAUUACAAAUAA
Molecule: non-coding RNA, 497 nt
Organism: Sorex fumeus (smoky shrew)
Lineage: Eukaryota; Metazoa; Chordata; Mammalia; Eulipotyphla; Soricidae
Source: the annotation of a RefSeq genome assembly